UAGCUCAAUGGUAAAGCAUUUGCCUAGCAUGCAUGAGGCCCUGGGUUCCAAUCCUAG
This 57-nucleotide transfer RNA is filed under the name Heterocephalus glaber (naked mole-rat). It matches the Rfam family "tRNA", at positions 8 to 63 of the family's 71-position model. Rfam says of the family: Transfer RNA (tRNA) molecules are approximately 80 nucleotides in length. The record is from Rfam by way of RNAcentral. Lineage: Eukaryota; Metazoa; Chordata; Mammalia; Rodentia; Bathyergidae.